Molecule: unclassified non-coding RNA, 4872 nt
Filed under: Polistes canadensis
Lineage: Eukaryota; Metazoa; Arthropoda; Insecta; Hymenoptera; Vespidae
Description: histone-lysine N-methyltransferase, H3 lysine-79 specific, transcript variant X1
Source: RNAcentral
CAUAUUACAUAUAUACAUAUACUAACAUAGAAGAGGAAGAAGAGACACGACGCCAUGUUUUGAUAUCGUCAUGCCCCCUUCUUAAAGUUCUACCUCUUGUAUCGUUUAAUAGUCGUUCGUGUCAGUGUUUUUUUUUUUUUAUCGUUACUCGACAUAACUCCGUGGCAUUCGCAUUCAUUUAUCUCAUUUUUAUCUAUUUAUCUCUAUCAUUCAAUCAUUUUUUUUCUCCCGUUCCAUUUGGAGGUGCUUUUUUCUGAUCUAUUGUCAAAAAACGUAAGAUUGCAUAGGAAGCACGUGCGAUAAAACCGUCGACGUUCAUCCUCGUGGUAUUUCUGUACUUUUCUGCACGUCGUUGCGUCGUGCUAUUAGUGCUGCCAAGUGGUCAAGUUUAACUAGGGACGUUGUAUAAUGUAAUAGUGUGAUUUGCUUGUAAUAUGGUGCUGCCACUGCUGGUGCUAGUGCUGCUGCCCCUAUAGCAACUGCUGUUGCUAGUGGUGUUGGAGUGUUUGUGUGGAGGCGCCCGUGUCUCCUCCGUAUCCCUUUUCAUGUCCUCCGGAAUAUCAGCUCUAGCAGAGAGGGGGGGUUUACCAAGCGUCGUCUACGUGGUGCUGGUGUCCUAGUGCGGGAACGUGCCGAUCUAUCCCCUUUUUAAAGGGGGGACUACGGCCACGGCGGCCGUUUUCACUGUUGUGUUACGAUUACGUCACGCGACGUGAGCCUUGCUUUUUUAUCUCGAGGUUUUAAUCGUCGCUACCACCGUUGCUGUUGCCGUUUCUGUUGCCGUUGCUGUAGCUGUUGCCGUUGCUGUAGCUGUUGCCGUUGCUGUAGCUGUUGCCGUAGUUGUUGUCGUAGCUGUUGCCGUCACCGUCACCGUCACCGUCGCCGUCGUCGUCGUUGCGUUUUCUUUGCCUAAGGAAGGAAAUAGGAAGUAGAGGUGGAGGAAGGGAAUAAAGAGGGAGAAGACGGUGGGGGCGGUGGCGGAGACGAAGGAGAAGGAAGACGACGACGUCGAGGACGGUGACGCGAACGACAAGAGGCACGAAGAAGAAGAGGAGGAGGAGGACGAGGAGGAGGAGGACGAGGAGGAGGAGGACGGGUCGUCGCGUAAAAUGGAGCUGCGCUUGCACUCACCAGCCGGAGCAGAACCGAUAGUUUAUCAGUGGCCCCUCACCUCCGGAUCAGGAUCCGAUCGUCACGAUGGAGCAUUAGACGUUGUAGAAACAAUGAGAUGGGUUUGCGAUGAUUUACCUGACUUAAAAUUACCUUUAGAAAAUAAUGUUCUUUGCAAUUACGAUACAAGAGAUUAUGAAAGUAUGAAAAGUUUAUGCGAUAGAUUUAAUAGAGCUAUUGAUAGCUUGGUACAACUGGAAAAAGGCACUAGUUUACCAUCGCAAAGAUUAAAUAAACGUCCAAGUAGAGGCUUACUUCGACAUAUACUUCAACAAACGUAUAACCAAGCUGUAGUUGAGCCUGACAAAUUAAAUCAAUAUGAACCAUUUUCACCUGAGGUUUACGGGGAAACAAGUUUUGAAUUAAUAUGUCAAAUGAUCGAUCAGGUUGAUGUUACCGAGGAUGAUGUUUUUGUCGAUUUAGGAUCCGGCGUUGGACAAGUAGUUCUCCAAAUGGCAGCGGCAACUUUAUGUAAAAUUUGUAUUGGUGUUGAAAGAGCCGAUGUACCUUCGAGAUAUGCCCAGAGCAUGGAAAUAAAUUUUCGAAAAUGGUUAAAUUGGUUUGGAAAAAUAUGCGGAGAAUAUCGUUUGGUGAAAGGUGAUUUUCUAGCAGAUGAGCAUCGCGAGAGCAUUACUGGUGCUACAAUUGUAUUUGUUAAUAAUUUUGCUUUUGGACCAACUGUAGAUCAUCAGUUAAAAGAAAGAUUUGCUGAUUUACGAGAUGGCGCUCGGAUAGUAUCCUCAAAAUCGUUUUGUCCGUUAAAUUUUCGAAUAACGGAUCGAAAUCUUAGUGAUAUUGGUACCAUAAUGCAUGUGUCUGAAAUGUCACCACUGAAAGGUUCAGUUUCAUGGACAGGCAAGCCUGUGUCCUAUUAUUUACAUGUUAUUGAUAGAACUAAAUUAGAACGUUAUUUCCAUCGUUUGAAAAAUAAUAAACAAGGUGGCUUAGACGAAAAUUCUGAUUCUGUGAUAAGUAACACUGCCAGCAAUAGUAGUAAGAUUUCUAGUAGAGGUGAAAGAAGCGACAGAGCCAAAAGAGAUCUUUCCAGACAGUUAGAUAGUCCUAAUCAUUCAGAACAGCAAGGAACAAAUAGCGAUUCUGAUAUGGAUGAAAAUAAUAUUAAAAAUCGUCGACAAUCAACUAAAAUUCGUAGGAAACUAAACAGAAAAAGUGCAAAUGGUAUAUCAAGACCUCCUCCCAGAGGAAGACAAAGAGGAAGAGGCGUGAAAAGGGCUAGACCUAAGAAAGCUAUUAAUAUAUCUGGACUCGAUUUAUUACAUAGUCAAACAUUAUUAAGUACAUCUCCGCAAGCUCUUGGGAAGAAACCACCUCCUGCACCAGGUUGCGUGGAUCAACAACUUUCUUCUUUAUCCCUUUCUUUACAAUCUCACUCCACCUCUGUGCACGAAGAACUCAGUAUACCACCUGCUCCGUCCGCGACUCCAUAUGCUUUACAAAUACUUUUGGAUUUAUACAGGGACCAAUUCAUGCUUAUGUUAGAAUCUAUGAGAACUCCUACUUACAGAGUAUCUGUUAACGCAGAUAUUUUAAAAGAGAGAGAAAGAAAUUCUAAACUACAAUCGAGAGCAGCACAAUUGGAAAAACAAAUAAAAGUAUUGAUCGAUGAUAGUGUAGCACUUUUAAAAGCCAGAAUGACCGAAUUAGGUAUAAAUGCUACUUCCCCUGGAGAUCUUCUAGCAAAAGCAAAAGAAAUAGUACUUAGACACAAGCAAUUGCAAGCUAAAGCAAGUAAACUACAAGCUCAAGUAGCAUCUAUGGAAUCAGAACAAACGAAAUUAACGGCACUUAGACACCAAGAAUUACAAGAAAAAUACAACGGCCACACUAAUAGCGUAUCUAACACACAACAACCACAUAUUGACGAGUAUAUAUUAAAAGAAAUAUCUGUUACAUUAUCCCAGCGCAAGAGAUUGCAAUUACAGGUGUCUAAACUGGAGCAUGAAUUGAAUGUAUUAGAAAGGGCUAGUAAUGAAAAGCAAGUCGCUGCUAUUGCUCAACAACAAAGAGAUGCAAUGAACAAUAAACAUUCUCAAAGUCAGCAUCAUCACCAAAAUGGAAAAAGCGGGUCUACCCGGAAAAAUAGAGAAGGACGUUCGAAAUCUCAGGAGUGGCCUGAUGUUCCAGAUAUCGGCAAAAUACAAGAAAAUAAUCCGGAAAUUUUAGCACAGAAAAUUUUAGAAACCGGAAGACAAAUAGAAGCUGGACGUAUUCCAAACAGACAAAAUUCUAAUGUUAAUAAUAAUUCUAGAACUAGACUGCCUCAAGCAUCUCUUAGUUUUUCUACGACAUCGUCAUGCAUUUCAUCAUCGCAAUCGCAUUCAAAUAUUAAAGAAAUGAUAAAUAGAACACAAGAACCACCUAGGGUAGCUAAUUUUGAAGAUAGAUUGAAAAGUAUCAUUACAAGUGUAUUGAAUGAAGAUCAACAAAAUCGUAGUAAACAACAAAUGCAGUUGCAAGUGCAACUGCAUCAUUCUGACACGGAUAAAAAGCGAGGCGUGUUACCGCAAAAUGUUUCUACUCCUGAUUAUACGCAGGUUUCUCCUGCAAAGCUUGCACUUCGACGUCACCUGUCUCAGGAACGUCUCUCUUCACAUCUAACUCCAUCCGAUAGAAUAGAUUCUAGACAAUCUGGUCACGAUAAUCGCAUUAUUGCUGGUGGAAGUGGAUUAUUGGGAACUAGAACAAUCGGUGAUCUUGUGAGUGGAGAGAUAGAGAGAACAUUAGAAAUAUCUAAUCAAACGAUAAUAAAUGGAACAGUUGACAUGAGUACAAUGAUGAGGCCAGAAACUGUAUACUCUCCUAUUAGUCGACCAGCUAGUGCUGAUGGAGAUGCCGGUUUAUCAACUCUUGCUCAUGUUGCUAGUUAUGCACCUACAUCGGUAACAACUGCUACAUCUACUCCUGCUAGUACUUCCAGAUCAUCUGUAUUAUUUACACCUGUGACGCAACCUCAAAGAUAUACACCUGUACAACUACCACGAGCAGACAUUAAACCCUAUCACGAAUCCUAUUUUUCUGACAAUCUUACCCAAUCGCUUACGCAUUCUCAUUCAUCCUCAUCCAUACAUUCGUCUCAAGCGUCUUCAAAUGGCGAACUUUUACCGGUAGAAGGACUAGCAGCCUCUUUACAUGCUCGAAUUUUGAACAAUCAUAAUGGCACUAAUAAAAGUGAUCAAGUGCUGCACAUCUCCAGAAGAUUUCAGCCAUAUCCUCGAUACGCAAAUAACAGUAAUAGCAACAACAAUACUAGUACAAAUGGCAGUAUGACUACAAUUUGUCAGACGCAGCCUGCAGUAUCUGUGAAAACGGAAGCAGUCAUAUCAACAGUAAGCACAAGUGGUGCACCUUUAAGUCCUCUCGUAGAACCACAUUCCAAUACUUCAACUCCUUUGGUUGACGAACCUCAAAUGACAACACAAAGACAGCGGAAUGGUAUUGGUGACGAUGAUGCACUGUAGCUGUUUGUUGGUUAGCUCUGUCACAUACUCGAUCUCGCUCACAUCACCUGAAGCUUGUUUUAUUAGAGAUUGAGACACAGAUCAAAGGGAGAAAUCAAAAAAUAUGGCUGCCUGUGGGUUGGUUCGUGGUUGCUGAUGGAGAAACAGAUUGGCAAGAUCGUAUCAGUUCUGGAUUUGAUCGUUUAGUUGCAUUUGCAUCAACAGAAUUAGACAAACGAAGAAG